RNAcentral lists this transfer RNA (72 nucleotides) under Camelus bactrianus (Bactrian camel). It matches the Rfam family "tRNA". Rfam says of the family: Transfer RNA (tRNA) molecules are approximately 80 nucleotides in length. Their secondary structure includes four short double-helical elements and three loops (D, anti-codon, and T loops). Lineage: Eukaryota; Metazoa; Chordata; Mammalia; Artiodactyla; Camelidae. The record is from Rfam by way of RNAcentral. RNAcentral also lists the same sequence under 2 other names.
GAGGAUAUAGCUCAGUGGUAGAGCACUUGCUUAGCAUGCAGGAGGUCCUGGGUUCAAUCCCCAGUACCUCCA